Molecule: transfer RNA, 76 nt
Filed under: Chloroflexota bacterium
Lineage: Bacteria; Bacillati; Chloroflexota
Description: tRNA-Ala
Rfam family: tRNA
About the family: Transfer RNA (tRNA) molecules are approximately 80 nucleotides in length. Their secondary structure includes four short double-helical elements and three loops (D, anti-codon, and T loops).
Source: RNAcentral
GGGGAUGUAGCUCAGCUGGAAGAGCGCGACGUUCGCAAUGUCGAGGCCAGGGGUUCGAGCCCCCUCAUCUCCACCA